CUGGAUAGUACUGGGAUGGAGGACCACCUGGGUAUCCCAG
This 40-nucleotide ribosomal RNA is filed under the name Monopterus albus (swamp eel). Lineage: Eukaryota; Metazoa; Chordata; Actinopteri; Synbranchiformes; Synbranchidae. The record is from RNAcentral.